GCCUACGGGCGGCAGCAGUGAGGAAUCUUGCCCAAUGGGGGAAACCCUGAGGCAGCGACACCGCGUGCGGGAUGAAGGCCUUCGGGUCGUAAACCGCUUUUCUGGGGGACGAGUAAGGACGGUACUCCAGGAAUAAGUCCCGGCUAACUACGUGCCAGCAGCCGCGGUAAAACGUAGGGGGCGAGCGUUAUCCGGAAUCACUGGGCGUAAAGGGCGUCUAGGCGGCAGCCUAAGUCCCGUGUGAAAGCUCCCGGCUCAACUGGGAGAGGGCAUGGGAGACUGGGCAGCUAGAGACUCGGAGGGGGGUGUGGAAUUCCCGGUGGAGUGGUGGAAUGCGUUGAGAUCGGGAGGAACACCAGUAGCGAAGGCGGCACCCUGGCCGAGAUCUGACGCUGAAGCGCGAGAGCGUGGGGAGCGAACGGGAUUAGAUACCCCGGUAGUCCACGCCGUAAACGAUGACAACUAGGUGUUGGGUGUCCAAGGAUGCUCAGUACCGCAGCAAACGCGAUAA
Molecule: ribosomal RNA, 511 nt
Filed under: uncultured bacterium
Lineage: Bacteria
Description: bacterial SSU rRNA
Rfam family: Bacterial small subunit ribosomal RNA
Source: RNAcentral